This 253-nucleotide ribosomal RNA is filed under the name uncultured bacterium. RNAcentral describes it as "partial 16S ribosomal RNA". It matches the Rfam family "Bacterial small subunit ribosomal RNA", at positions 524 to 776 of the family's 1533-position model. The record is from RNAcentral.
UACGAAGGGGGCUAGCGUUGUUCGGAAUUACUGGGCGUAAAGCGCGCGCAGGCGGUCCUUUAAGUCAGGGGGGAAAGCCCAGAGCUCAACUCUGGAACUGCCUUUAAAACUAGAGGACUUGGGUACGGGAGAGGUGAGUGGAAUUCCGAGUGUAGAGGUGAAAUUCGUAGAUAUUCGGAAGAACACCAGUGGCGAAGGCGGCUCACUGGCCCGUUACCGACGCUCAGGCGCGACAGCGUGGGGAGCGAACAGG